CCUACGGGAGGCAGCAGUGAGGAAUAUUGGUCAAUGGACGCAAGUCUGAACCAGCCAUGCCGCGUGCAGGAUGACGGUCCUAUGGAUUGUAAACUGCUUUUGUACGAGAAGAAACACUGCUACGUGUAGCAGCUUGACGGUAUCGUAAGAAUAAGGAUCGGCUAACUCCGUGCCAGCAGCCGCGGUAAUACGGAGGAUCCAAGCGUUAUCCGGAAUCAUUGGGUUUAAAGGGUCCGUAGGCGGUUUAGUAAGUCAGUGGUGAAAGCCCAUCGCUCAACGGUGGAACGGCCAUUGAUACUGCUAAACUUGAAUUAUUAGGAAGUAACUAGAAUAUGUAGUGUAGCGGUGAAAUGCUUAGAGAUUACAUGGAAUACCAAUUGCGAAGGCAGGUUACUACUAAUGGAUUGACGCUGAUGGACGAAAAGCGUGGGUAGCGAAGACGAGUAGUAGUACCUACCGUAGGUACGUACCGACCGGUAACCGUAAACGUAGUAGGUAACUUAACGUACGUACGUUGGGUUGGGCCGAACGUAACGUUACGUAGGGUCGUAACGUAACGGAAACGUAAAGGUAGUAAAGUUAAAGUACCUACCCCUACCGGGUAGGGGUAACGGUUACGGUUCCGAACGAAAAGAAGUAAAGAAACCGUAAAUAAAGUAAAGUUAAAGUUACGGAACCGGUUCGUAGGAACGUACGUUCGAACCGGAACGGACCGAACACCGGGGAGGGGUUAGGGUAGGGG
Molecule: ribosomal RNA, 742 nt
Filed under: uncultured bacterium
Lineage: Bacteria
Description: bacterial SSU rRNA
Rfam family: Bacterial small subunit ribosomal RNA (bases 1-471)
Source: RNAcentral